AUAUAUGCUGUAAUUCCCUGAAGGACUUUUUGUCCAAAAGACAUGUCUGAUUUUUCGAAAAGGUCUAGUCUAUAGUGCUUAAUGAAGGUAUGGAUACUAGACCAAGUAGCGGCUUUACAAAUUUCUUUUAGGG
Molecule: long non-coding RNA, 133 nt
Organism: Bufo bufo (common toad)
Lineage: Eukaryota; Metazoa; Chordata; Amphibia; Anura; Bufonidae
Exons: 3
Source: RefSeq, a predicted model, not a curated record